AGCUGUUCCCCUCUGGAGGUUUUUGACCUUCAUACCUAUAGGGCCCUGGUUUACUCCGGUGGCCCUCUUUUUUUGCUCAA
RNAcentral lists this small RNA (80 nucleotides) under Rhizobium sp. BK376. Its description in RNAcentral is "suhB". The stretch from base 1 to 71 matches the Rfam family "Alphaproteobacterial ar15", at positions 44 to 112 of the family's 112-position model. Lineage: Bacteria; Pseudomonadati; Pseudomonadota; Alphaproteobacteria; Hyphomicrobiales; Rhizobiaceae. The record is from RNAcentral.